CAUCCGCACAUCAAGCAGGCACACCCGAAACACGCCAGAGAGAAAGGCCUGUGCUUCAGCACGAACAGUCUGCCAUUCCAUUUCUGUUGUGCUUACUCAAUAAUUAUCGUCCAUCAGGUUAUAUUCAGCAUGUGAAGCGAAGGCAGCCACUAGUUUAAGGAUAUGAACCGGGGUGACAGGAAUACCUAGCUAUGAGUAUGACGUUACAAGAUGAAGUUUAUUGGUGUAAAAUUUGAAAAUACCCUAUAAAUGCCAUGCAACACUACCACCUCAGCAAGCCAUUUCAAAAUGAUCUCUAAACCAGAUGAUGUCAUUAAGUUAAAUUCCCUGUACAGCAAGUGUGACCUCUAUGGAAAAACCCAACUGACCUCACAGGUUAUCUACAUAUGGGUCCUAACUUUUUCUGAAAGUGGCGUAGGUGUUAUAGAGUGUGGUUCAGAGUGACAAAAUCUCAGAAACCGAUUCUUCCUUGGAUCUAACUAGAUGGCAGACACCCUUGACCCACAGCAACAUGUUAAUUAUUCCAUUGGGCAGCAAAGAAGAACAGAGAAUUAAUGUAACUAGCAGUUAGUGGACAGAAAAAUGGAACAGCAUAUGUUCAUACACGCAUAUGAACAUACAGUUGAUGUGUUGACUUGAUCUAGCCCAGAGGACAUCCAUGACUUCAUCAACCUUAAAGGGAGGUAUGCCGUCUACGUCAAGGCCUGCUGGUCCCAUGAAAUCUUUAAUUAUGGUUUCCACUGUACAUACUGAUGCUUGCAAGUCAAGUACUAUCUUCACAGUAGGGAUGCUGAAUGAAAAUAUAAAUAUUUGGAGAGGCAAGAGCAGUAUGCAAUUGGGUAUUUUCAUUUUUUAAUAUGUUUGCAGCAGUUAAAUUUGACCUCCACAUCAUGGGUCACUUAGUGAACAAAUAAACUGUUAAAUUUAAUCAAUAAACUGCAUGCUGUGAAAGCACCAAGAAACAAAAUCCAUAUAUAGUAUGCUAAAAACUGACAGGGCUCAAACACAAGAUCAUCUGAUAUCAUUCUUUAUCAUAUAUAAAGUGCCUGUUUGAUCUGAUUACAAUAUUUAUCAAUUAGUACUUGAAACAACCAGCUUAAUUUGUUAGUUACUGCAUUUUAAAUUUUAAGAUGUGAAGUGGUGCUGUAUUUGUUUUCACUGCAGGAUAGUCCGACACGUGAAUCUCCAUGUUCAUAAGCAGUGCCUUUUUUAGGCGGAGUAACAAUAUAAGAUGGCUACUGAAGCUGAGAUGUAAGAAUUGAUGCUUCAAGUUCAGUUAAUUAGCUGCCAUUUCUGAUGUUUCAGUUAUGAUGCUGAAAAAGCGCAACAGUGGUAGAAAGCAAGGGGGAAAGAAUAAUCUGCAGAUAUCUCUUGCACCAUAAACAGUAAACAUGGGUGGCAAGAUCUUGUUCUUUGUUGCCACCAUCUUUUAAAUUUUUCUGAAAUGUAAAUUUCAAUGUAUGUUUUUUGCAUAGUUCAAUCAAUUGUCCAGUGUGCUUGUUGCAGAUCAAGUCUGACUUAAUUUGCACUUCAUCA
Long non-coding RNA from Lingula anatina, 1536 nucleotides. The record is from RefSeq and is a predicted model, not a curated record. Lineage: Eukaryota; Metazoa; Brachiopoda; Lingulata; Lingulida; Lingulidae.